CCUACGGGAGGCAGCAGUGAGGAAUAUUGGUCAAUGGCCGGAAGGCUGAACCAGCCAUGCCGCGUGAAGGUCAGUGCCCUAUGGGCGUUAAACUUCUUUUGUGCGGGAGCAAUCAUGGUCACGUGUGGCCAGACGAGAGUACCGUAAGAAUAAGCAUCGGCUAACUCCGUGCCAGAGGCCGCGGUAAUACGGGGGAUGCAAGCGUUAUCCGGAUUUAUUGGGUUUAAAGGGUGCGAAGGCUGUGAGGUAAGUCAGCGGUGAAAUGCCCCCGCUCAACGGGGUGAAGUGCCAUUGCUACUGCCUUGAUGGAAUGCGGAUGCCGUGGGAGGAAUGUGUGGUGUAGCGGUGAAAUGCAUAGAUAGCACACAGAACACCGAUUGCGAAGGCAUCUCACGAAUCCGCGAUUGACGCUGAUGCACGAAAGCGUGGGUAUCAAACAGGAUUAGAUACCCCGGUAGUC
This 460-nucleotide ribosomal RNA is filed under the name uncultured bacterium. Its description in RNAcentral is "partial 16S ribosomal RNA". It matches the Rfam family "Bacterial small subunit ribosomal RNA", at positions 338 to 795 of the family's 1533-position model. The record is from RNAcentral.